Molecule: RNA transcript, 1017 nt
Organism: Leptopilina boulardi
Lineage: Eukaryota; Metazoa; Arthropoda; Insecta; Hymenoptera; Figitidae
Gene name: 40S ribosomal protein S9
Exons: 5
Source: RefSeq, a predicted model, not a curated record
AAUUAUGUAGUUGGCAGCAUUGAUCAUCAAUAGAGGGCGCUGUGUUAAAUACCUUGAAACCGGAAAAAGAUCACUCGGCCAUUUGCACAGUGAACGUUGCAGGAGGUUUAUCGUCUCGCGAAAAAAGCUUGACGAACAAUGGUGAACGGGAGAAUUCCUUCGGUCUUUUCGAAGACAUACGUUACUCCUCGGAGACCGUAUGAAAAAGCGCGACUCGAUCAAGAAUUGCGCAUUAUUGGAGAAUAUGGUCUCAGAAAUAAAAGGGAAGUUUGGCGGGUUAAAUACACUUUAGCAAAAAUCCGAAAAGCAGCUCGUGAACUUUUGACCCUGGAAGAAAAAGAUCAAAAACGUCUUUUCGAAGGAAAUGCAUUGCUGAGACGUUUAGUACGCAUUGGCGUAUUAGAUGAAACCAGAAUGAAACUCGAUUAUGUACUUGGUUUGAAGAUUGAAGACUUUUUAGAGAGACGUUUACAAACUCAGGUUUUUAAACUUGGAUUGGCAAAGUCAAUUCAUCAUGCCCGAGUUCUCAUUCGACAACGUCACAUUAGAAUCUGCUCAUGAGGGCGAUAUUGAUCGUGAAUGGUGAUCGAGUAAAAAAUAGUCUGGACCUUAAUUGGUCCAGCUUUUCAAUAAGACCACUUAAACUUAAAAUGUUUAACGUCUAACAAGUUUGGAGUUUCUGUUGAUCUUUUGAUCACAACUUUUCAGUCAGACCACUUAAACUUGAAAAGUUUAACGUCUUGACAAAAUGUUGGAGGUUUAUACAGUCCUUUGAUAUUGAGUAAGGAAGCAAGUGGUGAACAUUCCUUCGUUCAUAGUGAGACUUGAUUCUCAAAAGCAUAUUGACUUUUCAUUGAAGUCACCAUUUGGUGGUGGUCGUCCUGGACGUGUAAAGAGGAAAAAUAUGCGCAAGGGAAGCGGUGGCGCAGCAGCCGAAGAGGAAGAAGAUUAAUUUUUAAAAUUGGAGGAUUCUUUACAAUUGAGGAAUGUUCCAAUAAAUUGCAAAACAAUAUUCAA